AAGGGCACCACAAGAACGCGUGGAGCAUGUGGCUUAAUUUGACUCAACGCGGGAAAUCUUACCGGGUCCGGACACACUGAGGAUUGACAGACAAACCAAACCAAACAUGAAAGUUCUUUCAUGAUUAUGUGAUAGGUGGUGCAUGGCCGUUCUUAGUUCGUGGAGUGAUCUGUCUGCUUAAUUGCGUUUCGCAAUUUGAUACGUGAUGCGUGUAAGUAAUCGGUGCGCGUGUGUGCAAGCAUACGUGUAACGCAGCGCUGCAGUAUCUUGAAAGCAACGAACGUGAUCGCAACCAUUAGUUGACUCCUAGCGUAGGGGGAGUCAUAGGCAAAAACUAAUGGGACCGCUGUCAACUUCUUAAACCAGAGGAAGGUUGCGGCAAUAACAGGUCUGUGAUGCCCUCAGAUGUUCCGGGCCGCACACGUGCUACAAUGAUUGUUGCAGUGAGCAUCAUAUGUAAAAGCACGAUAAUUUUUUACCGUGUCGCACAUGCACACCACGCGUGUGUGUGUGACCUCUGCCUGCAUCGAGAGCUUGCAAGGUAAUCAAUUAUAAGUAACGUUUUCCCACGUUAUAAUUUAGCCACACAUAUACGGCAUUGGUUACCACAAUCCGGUUCAAAUCCGGCUCUGUUGCGUGACUGAUGGUCUCUCGACCGUAUGUGCUAUUGUCAACUCACGGUGGGGACAGACCAUUGUUAAUUGUUGGUCUCGUCUUAACUAGGAAUGCCUCGUACGGGUCGGUUCAACAAACCACCCGGAAUGCGUCCCUGCCCUUUGUACACACCGCCCGUCGCUCUUACCGAUGGACUUCUCUGUGAGUUUGAGGGACUCAACGUGCGUGCGUGUGCAUUCGUGUAUGCGUGUGUGCGCCACGGAAACUUAACCGAACAGUGUGGUCUAAAGGAAAGAGAAGUCGUAACAAGGCAUCGGUAGGUGAACCUGCAGAAGGAUCA
Molecule: ribosomal RNA, 955 nt
Filed under: Foraminifera environmental sample
Lineage: Eukaryota; Foraminifera
Description: bacterial SSU rRNA
Rfam family: Eukaryotic small subunit ribosomal RNA
Source: RNAcentral